GGGGUGGUUAGCGUUGAGUUUCAGGUUCUAUAAGAACGGGACUAAGGAAACUCAUUACCAGGUGGUAAUCAUCUUCAUCUAUUCAAUAACACCGUUUGGUGUACACACUAAAUUGUGGCACUGGAGACUCACAUAGAACUGAAGUAACUCACCAGUUCCUAGAGGCAGGUGGGCACGUAGGGAGAGAGAGGCAGCGGCGCCUUCCAGGCGCUCUCCCUGGUACAGAGGCGGCGGGGGCCAGGGCUGUCAGGACACCCAGGCCCACGUGCCAGGCUCCGGCUCACCUGCCCGAGGGCAGAGCGGGAAGCUCCGCCCCUCGCGGAACCCCGGCCUGUGCGCAGUUCCCGUGCCCUAGGAGUUGGCGGCGGGGCCCAGCCGAGUGAAGCAGAGUUGCCAGCCAUCUAUGGAUCCUAACUAAAUUGGUCCUUGUAAUACUCGGUAUUAUUUGCCAAGAUAUUGAAAAACCUCUAAACAGUGAGAAGCUCCCAGCCCCUUUUCUGUGUCUCUCAUCACCAGCUGCUGUGCCCUGAGGACACCCAGGCAGCCUAAGGAGAGGCCCACAGGUGAGAAACUGCAUGUGUGAGCUGAGCUUGGAAGUGGAUCUUCUAUGUUUUGCCAACAGCCACGUGACUAGUUUUGGAAGCAGAUUCUCCAGCCCCAGCUGCACCUGUGCCAGAGGCACCCAUUAAGCCGCACCUAGUUAAAUUCCUGACCCACAAAGACUUUGAAAUCAUAAAUGUUUGUUGUUUUAAGCUGCUAAGUUUUGAAGUAAUCUGCCAUGUAGCAACAUGAAACUACUUGGACCAAAUAUGUGUUUUUCUAAGCACAGGAAUAUUCACACUUUAUUAAACUUGAGUAUUCCAACAAUAGGAUGGAAGUCCAAGUUUUAUUUCUUUGCUGGGACCCUCACAUGCAUGUAUCACAUAUGUAUCAUUAAAAAAUGAAGGACAAAUCUAAUCAGG
RNAcentral lists this long non-coding RNA (962 nucleotides) under Homo sapiens (human). RNAcentral's name for it is "HSALNT0293414". The record is from RNAcentral. Lineage: Eukaryota; Metazoa; Chordata; Mammalia; Primates; Hominidae.